CCUACGGGAGGCAGCAGUGGGGAAUAUUGGGCAAUGGAGGAAACUCUGACCCAGCGACGCCGCGUGCGGGAUGAAGGCCUUCGGGUUGUAAACCGCUUUCAGUAGGGAAGAAGCGAAAGUGACGGUACCUACAAAAGAAGCACCGGCUAACUAUGUGCCAGCAGCCGCGGUAAU
Molecule: ribosomal RNA, 174 nt
Filed under: uncultured bacterium
Lineage: Bacteria
Also listed under: 1 other name
Description: partial 16S ribosomal RNA
Rfam family: Bacterial small subunit ribosomal RNA
Source: RNAcentral